UUUAGCGGCGGACGGGUGAGUAACACGUGGGCAACCUGCCCUGUAGAUUGGGAUAACUCCGGGAAACCGGGGCUAAUACCGAAUAAUCCAUUUCCUCACAUGUGGAAAUGUUAAAAGACGGUUUCGGCUGUCACUACAGGAUGGGCCCGCGGCGCAUUAGCUAGUUGGUGAGGUAACGGCUCACCAAGGCGACGAUGCGUAGCCGACCUGAGAGGGUGAUCGGCCACACUGGGACUGAGACACGGCCCAGACUCCUACGGGAGGCAGCAGUAGGGAAUCUUCCACAAUGGACGAAAGUCUGAUGGAGCAAUGCCGCGUGAGUGAAGAAGGUUUUCGGAUCGUAAAACUCUGUUGUGAGGGAAGAACAAGUACGAGAGUAACUGCUCGUACCUUGACGGUACCUCAUUAGAAAGCCACGGCUAACUACGUGCCAGCAGCCGCGGUAAUACGUAGGUGGCAAGCGUUGUCCGGAAUUAUUGGGCGUAAAGCGCGCGCAGGCGGUCCUUUAAGUCUGAUGUGAAAUCCCACGGCUCAACCGUGGAAGGUCAUUGGAAACUGGGGGACUUGAGUACAGAAGAGGAAAGCGGAAUUCCAAGUGUAGCGGUGAAAUGCGUAGAGAUUUGGAGGAACACCAGUGGCGAAGGCGGCUUUCUGGUCUGUAACUGACGCUGAGGCGCGAA
RNAcentral lists this ribosomal RNA (680 nucleotides) under Psychrobacillus psychrodurans. RNAcentral describes it as "bacterial SSU rRNA". It matches the Rfam family "Bacterial small subunit ribosomal RNA", at positions 91 to 757 of the family's 1533-position model. The record is from RNAcentral. Lineage: Bacteria; Bacillati; Bacillota; Bacilli; Caryophanales; Bacillaceae.